RNAcentral lists this ribosomal RNA (387 nucleotides) under uncultured bacterium. RNAcentral's name for it is "bacterial SSU rRNA". It matches the Rfam family "Bacterial small subunit ribosomal RNA", at positions 30 to 416 of the family's 1533-position model. The record is from RNAcentral.
AUUGAACGCUGGCGGCAUGCCUUACACAUGCAAGUCGAACGGCAGCACGGGAGCAAUCCUGGUGGCGAGUGGCGAACGGGUGAGUAAUAUAUCGGAACGUGCCCAGUCGUGGGGAUAACGUAGCGAAAGCUACGCUAAUACCGCAUACGAUCUAUGGACGAAAGCGGGGGAUCGCAAGACCUCGCGCGAUUGGAGCGGCCGAUAUCAGAUUAGGUAGUUGGUGAGGUAAAGGCUCACCAAGCCGACGAUCUGUAGCUGGUCUGAGAGGACGACCAGCCACACUGGGACUGAGACACGGCCCAGACUCCUACGGGAGGCAGCAGUGGGGAAUUUUUGGGACAAUGGGCGCAAGCCUGAUCCAGCAAUGCCGCGUGCAGGAUGAAGGCC